This 389-nucleotide ribosomal RNA is filed under the name uncultured bacterium. RNAcentral's name for it is "bacterial SSU rRNA". It matches the Rfam family "Bacterial small subunit ribosomal RNA", at positions 30 to 400 of the family's 1533-position model. The record is from RNAcentral.
AGCGAACGCUGGCGGCGUACUUAACACAUGCAAGUCGAACGCGGAUCAUCCUGUGAGCAAUCAUGAGGUGGUCUGAGUGGCGGACGGGUGAGUAACACGUGGGCAACCUGCCCUCGAGCCCGGGAUACCCUCUCGAAAGGGAGGCUAAUACGGGAUACGUUCCCUGGGUCGCAGGUCCUAGGGAGGAAAGGCGGCGCAAGCGGCCGCUCGAGGAGGGGCUCGCGGCCUANCAGCUAGUUGGUGAGGUAACGGCUCACCAAGGCUAUGACGGGUAGCUGGUCUGAGAGGACGACCAGCCACACGGGAACUGAGACACGGUCCCGACUCCUACGGGAGGCAGCAGUGGGGAAUUUUCCGCAAUGGGCGAAAGCCUGACGGAGUGACGCCGC